This 81-nucleotide transfer RNA is filed under the name Lepisosteus oculatus (spotted gar). It matches the Rfam family "tRNA". Rfam says of the family: Transfer RNA (tRNA) molecules are approximately 80 nucleotides in length. Their secondary structure includes four short double-helical elements and three loops (D, anti-codon, and T loops). The record is from Rfam by way of RNAcentral. Lineage: Eukaryota; Metazoa; Chordata; Actinopteri; Semionotiformes; Lepisosteidae.
GGUAGUGUGGCCGAGCGGUCUAAGUGCUGGAUUAAGGCUCCAGUUUCUUUGGAGGCAUAGGUUUGAAUCCCACCACUACCA